GGGACAGGUACGUAACGCAAUGUGGGAAAUGGUGCUUCACUAUGAACUUUAAUUCAUCUCGUGGAAAUAUGUACAAUAUGGAGUUGUGUUGGACACUGUGUACUUCUUGCUUGUGAUUCCCUUGCGCUUCUCUGUGUGCCCACCCAAGCAAAUACUGUGGCUCACUCAUGGCUGUAGCUCAAGCAAGGAGUUGGCCCAGAGCCUUCCAUGAUGCUGCUGGUGAUAUCAAAGUUGCCUACCCCGUACCUACUGCCCCACAGCUCUCUUGCACCUGUAUUGGCAUAAUACUGGGGACAAUGGAACUAGUGACACAAUAGUGUCAUAAUUCAUCACAACAUACACUCUAUCCAAUGGGAACCCACAAUAUUCAGUUUUUCCCUGUCCCUCUUUGCUACGCUGACUGCCACUAUGGUAAAGCUCAUCCCCGUUCCCCAGACUUUGUAGCCAUACAUCCCAACAUUUUCCAGUCUCAGAAAACCUGAUUUUAAGGGCCCCUUGUAUACUCCUCAACUCCUAGUCUGGGCUGACUUACAUAUGCUUGAUAAAGGAAUUAUUUUGGCCCGAAAUGUUGCACCUCAGCAAUAAAGAUUUCUAAGGGCUGGUCCCGUUUGUA
This is a long non-coding RNA of Xenopus tropicalis (tropical clawed frog), 613 nucleotides long. RefSeq lists it as uncharacterized. Lineage: Eukaryota; Metazoa; Chordata; Amphibia; Anura; Pipidae. The transcript is spliced from 2 exons. The record is from RefSeq and is a predicted model, not a curated record.